RNAcentral lists this ribosomal RNA (440 nucleotides) under uncultured bacterium. Its description in RNAcentral is "partial 16S ribosomal RNA". It matches the Rfam family "Bacterial small subunit ribosomal RNA", at positions 338 to 795 of the family's 1533-position model. The record is from RNAcentral.
CCUACGGGUGACAGCAGUGGGGAAUAUUGCACAAUGGGGGAAACCCUGAUGCAGCAACGCCGCGUGAGUGAAGAAGGAUUUCGGUAUGUACAGCGCUAUCAGCAGGGAAGAAGAUGACGGUACCUGUAUCAGAAGUCCCGGAUAACUACGUGCCCGCAGCCGCGGUAAUACGUAGGGGGCAAGCGGUAUUCGGAUUUACUGGGUGUAAAGGGAGCGAAGACGGCAGUGCAAGGCUGGAGUGAAAGCCCGGGGCCAAACCCCGGAACCGCUCUGGAAACUGUGCGUCUAGAGUACUGGAGGGGCAGGCGGAAUUCCUGGUGUAGCGGUGAAAUGCGUAGAUAUUAGGAGGAACACCAGUGGCGAAGGCGGCCUGCUGUACAGUAACUGACGUUGAGGCUCGAAAGCGUGGGGAGCAAACAGGAUUAGAUACCCCAGUAGUC